GAUGAACGCUGGCGGCGUGCCUAAUACAUGCAAGUCGAGCGAACAGACGAGGAGCUUGCUCCUCUGACGUUAGCGGCGGACGGGUGAGUAACACGUGGAUAACCUCCCUAUAAGACUGGGAUAACUUCGGGAAACCGGAGCUAAUACCGGAUAAUAUAUUGAACCGCAUGGUUCAAUAGUGAAAGACGGUUUUGCUGCCACUUAUAGAUGGAUCCGCGCCGCAUUAGCUAGUUGGUAAGGUAACGGCUUACCAAGGCAACGAUGCGUAGCCGACCUGAGAGGGUGAUCGGCCACACUGGAACUGAGACACGGUCCAGACUCCUACGGGAGGCAGCAGUAGGGAAUCUUCCGCAAUGGGCGAAAGCCUGACGGAGCAACGCCGCGUGAGUGAUGAAGGUCUUCGGAUCGUAAAACUCUGUUAUUAGGGAAGAACAAAUGUGUAAGUAACUAUGCACGUCUUGACGGUACCUAAUCAGAAAGCCACGGCUAACUACGUG
Molecule: ribosomal RNA, 497 nt
Filed under: uncultured bacterium
Lineage: Bacteria
Description: partial 16S ribosomal RNA
Rfam family: Bacterial small subunit ribosomal RNA
Source: RNAcentral